Long non-coding RNA from Herpailurus yagouaroundi (jaguarundi), 475 nucleotides. RefSeq lists it as uncharacterized. The transcript is spliced from 3 exons. Lineage: Eukaryota; Metazoa; Chordata; Mammalia; Carnivora; Felidae. The record is from RefSeq and is a predicted model, not a curated record.
CGAGCCGGAGGCGGGGCGGACGGGCGGGCGGACGGGGUGGGACCGGUGGAGGCUCUCCGGCUGGGGUGCCUCGGGGUGGCUCUCGAAGGCCCAGCGCAGCCUGGACACGGUUCUGGCGGUGCCGGGGGAGGGAGAUGGGGAGGGGACGGUAACGGAGAGGAGGUUGGGGUUGGGGCGGCGCCCCGAACCGCAGAGGUCGCUGCGCCCACCUCUGACGCCGUCCUUGCCCGGGGGCAGAGCAGUGCGCUCCCGAGCGGCGUCCCUUCUGUGCGGCCCGGAGCGCGGAGUCCAGGGUCCUGCCCUCUCCACGGCCGUAAGGCCUCCUCUCCAGCCUGGAGAAAUCAUGAUCCAGGACCAGGCCUGUCCCCCAACCCCUGGUGAGGCACCCGGGGGCUCAGACUCAGCCCCUAGCAACGGUGGAGCGGUCAUAAGUCAGAUUGCAUGCCCAGCGUGGAGCCCAAUGUGGGGCUUGAAC